CCUUUGACGUUAGCGGCGGACGGGUGAGUAACACGUGGGUAACCUACCUAUAAGACUGGGAUAACUUCGGGAAACCGGAGCUAAUACCGGAUAAUAUUUCGAACCGCAUGGUUCGAUAGUGAAAGGUGGUUUUGCUAUCACUUAUAGAUGGACCCGCGCCGUAUUAGCUAGUUGGUAAGGUAACGGCUUACCAAGGCGACGAUACGUAGCCGACCUGAGAGGGUGAUCGGCCACACUGGGAACUGAGACACGGUCCAGACUCCUACGGGAGGCAGCAGAG
Molecule: ribosomal RNA, 280 nt
Filed under: uncultured Staphylococcus sp.
Lineage: Bacteria; Bacillati; Bacillota; Bacilli; Caryophanales; Staphylococcaceae
Description: partial 16S ribosomal RNA
Rfam family: Bacterial small subunit ribosomal RNA
Source: RNAcentral